Molecule: ribosomal RNA, 497 nt
Filed under: uncultured bacterium
Lineage: Bacteria
Description: partial 16S ribosomal RNA
Rfam family: Bacterial small subunit ribosomal RNA
Source: RNAcentral
GAUGAACGCUGGCGGCGUGCCUAAUACAUGCAAGUCGAGCGAACAGAUCAGGAGCUUGCUCCUCUGACGUUGGCGGCGGACGGGUGAGUAACACAUGGAUAACCUACCUCUCAGACUGGGAUACCUUCGGGAAACCGGAGCUAAUACCGGAUAAUAUAUUGAACCUCGUUGUUCACUAGUGAAAUACGGUUUUUCUUUCACUUAUAGAUUGAUCCGCGCCGCAUUAGCUAGUUGGUAAGGUAACGGCUUACCAAGGCAACGAUGGGUAGCCGACCUGAGAGGGUGAUCGGCCACACGGGAACUGAGAAACGGUCCAGACUCCGACAGGAGGAAACAGUAGGGAAUCUUCCGCAAUGGGCGAAAGCCUGACGGAGCAACGCGGCGUGAGUGAUGAAGGUCUUCGGAUCGUAAAGCUCUGUUAUUAGGGAAGAACAAAUGUGUAAGUAACUAUGCACGUCUUGACGGUACCUAAUCAGAAAGCCACGGCUAACUACGUG